RNAcentral lists this ribosomal RNA (484 nucleotides) under uncultured bacterium. RNAcentral's name for it is "partial 16S ribosomal RNA". It matches the Rfam family "Bacterial small subunit ribosomal RNA", at positions 29 to 507 of the family's 1533-position model. The record is from RNAcentral.
AUUGAACGCUGGCGGAAUGCUUUACACAUGCAAGUCGAACGGCAGCACGGGGGCAGUCCUGGUGGCGAGUGGCGAACGGGUGAGUAAUACAUCGGAACGUGCCCGGUCGUGGGGGAUAACGUAGCGAAAGGUACGCUAAUACCGCAUACGAUCUGAGGAUGAAAGCGGGGGACCUUCGGGCCUCGCGCGAUCGGAGCGGCCGAUGUCAGAUUAGGUAGUUGGUGGGGUAAAGGCGUACCAAGCCGACGAUCUGUAGCUGGUCUGAGAGGACGACCAGCCACACUGGGACUGAGACACGGCCCAGACUCCUACGGGAGGCAGCAGUGGGGAAUUUUGGACAAUGGGCGCAAGCCUGAUCCAGCCAUUCCGCGUGCAGGACGAAGGCCUUCGGGUUGUAAACUGCUUUUGUACGGAACGAAAAGGCUCUGGCUAAUACCUGGGGCUCAUGACGGUACCGUAAGAAUAAGCACCGGCUAACUACGUG